CUUGAAAUCCCAGAGACUUUUAAUGGAAGCUACGGGAUGUAGUAAAAAAAGAGAGUGAGAGAGAGAGAGAAAUCCGCCACCUUCUGGCUCUUCUAAACCCUUCUCUCCCGGUUCUCUGUGAGCUGCAUUACGGAUAAGCAACUGGGAGGCACCCUAUCCUUUACAUACAGCCUUUGAACUUAAGUCAUCUAAAGAAAAGGUUAACUGGCGUUUCACCAUGGGAAUGUAGCCGAGAGAAUCUGCCAGAAUUUGACGAAGAAAAGAAUUGGGCUUCAACUGCUUCACAGAAAGUUCGCAAUGAUCUUUUACUUUCAUCAGUGGUUUUGUUUGUUUUAUAAAAUAAUUGACCGGAAUAAAAAAAA
Molecule: long non-coding RNA, 362 nt
Organism: Argiope bruennichi
Lineage: Eukaryota; Metazoa; Arthropoda; Arachnida; Araneae; Araneidae
Exons: 3
Source: RefSeq, a predicted model, not a curated record